CAGCCGCCGCGGUAAUACGUAGGUGGCAAGCGUUGUCCGGAAUUAUUGGGCGUAAAGGGCUCGCAGGCGGUUUCUUAAGUCUGAUGUGAAAGCCCCCGGCUCAACCGGGGAGGGUCAUUGGAAACUGGGAAACUUGAGUGCAGAAGAGGAGAGUGGAAUUCCACGUGUAGCGGUGAAAUGCGUAGAGAUGUGGAGGAACACCAGUGGCGAAGGCGACUCUCUGGUCUGUAACUGACGCUGAGGAGCGAAAGCGUGGGGAGCAAACAGGAUUAGAUACCCCCGUAGUCCCUGUCUCUUAUAC
This 301-nucleotide ribosomal RNA is filed under the name uncultured bacterium. RNAcentral describes it as "partial 16S ribosomal RNA". It matches the Rfam family "Bacterial small subunit ribosomal RNA", at positions 509 to 807 of the family's 1533-position model. The record is from RNAcentral.